GCUCAGAUUGAACGCUGGCGGCAGGCCUAACACAUGCAAGUCGAGCGGUAGCACAGAGAGCUUGCUCUCGGGUGACGAGCGGCGGACGGGUGAGUAAUGUCUGGGAAACUGCCUGAUGGAGGGGGAUAACUACUGGAAACGGUAGCUAAUACCGCAUAACGUCGCAAGACCAAAGUGGGGGACCUUCGGGCCUCAUGCCAUCAGAUGUGCCCAGAUGGGAUUAGCUGGUAGGUGGGGUAACGGCUCACCUAGGCGACGAUCCCUAGCUGGUCUGAGAGGAUGACCAGCCACACUGGAACUGAGACACGGUCCAGACUCCUACGGGAGGCAGCAGUGGGGAAUAUUGCACAAUGGGCGCAAGCCUGAUGCAGCCAUGCCGCGUGUGUGAAGAAGGCCUUCGGGUUGUAAAGCACUUUCAGCGGGGAGGAAGGCGGUGAGGUUAAUAACCUCAUCGAUUGACGUUACCCGCAGAAGAAGCACCGGCUAACUCCGUGCCAGCAGCCGCGGUAAUACGGAGGGUGCAAGCGUUAAUCGGAAUUACUGGGCGUAAAGCGCACGCAGGCGGUCUGUCAAGUCGGAUGUGAAAUCCCCGGGCUCAACCUGGGAACUGCAUUCGAAACUGGCAGGCUAGAGUCUUGUAGAGGGGGGUAGAAUUCCAGGUGUAGCGGUGAAAUGCGUAGAGAUCUGGAGGAAUACCGGUGGCGAAGGCGGCCCCCUGGACAAAGACUGACGCUCAGGUGCGAAAGCGUGGGGAGCAAACAGGAUUAGAUACCCUGGUAGUCCACGCUGUAAACGAUGUCGAUUUGGAGGUUGUGCCCUUGAGGCGUGGCUUCCGGAGCUAACGCGUUAAAUCGACCGCCUGGGGAGUACGGCCGCAAGGUUAAAACUCAAAUGAAUUGACGGGGGCCCGCACAAGCGGUGGAGCAUGUGGUUUAAUUCGAUGCAACGCGAAGAACCUUACCUGGUCUUGACAUCCACAGAACUUUCCAGAGAUGGAUUGGUGCCUUCGGGAACUGUGAGACAGGUGCUGCAUGGCUGUCGUCAGCUCGUGUUGUGAAAUGUUGGGUUAAGUCCCGCAACGAGCGCAACCCUUAUCCUUUGUUGCCAGCGGUCMGGCCGGGAACUCAAAGGAGACUGCCAGUGAUAAACUGGAGGAAGGUGGGGAUGACGUCAAGUCAUCAUGGCCCUUACGACCAGGGCUACACACGUGCUACAAUGGCAUAUACAAAGAGAAGCGACCUCGCGAGAGCAAGCGGACCUCAUAAAGUAUGUCGUAGUCCGGAUUGGAGUCUGCAACUCGACUCCAUGAAGUCGGAAUCGCUAGUAAUCGUAGAUCAGAAUGCUACGGUGAAUACGUUCCCGGGCCUUGUACACACCGCCCGUCACACCAUGGGAGUGGGUUGCAAAAGAAGUAGGUAGCUUAACCUUCGGGAGGGCGCUUACCACUUUGUGAUUCAUGACUGGG
This 1465-nucleotide ribosomal RNA is filed under the name Klebsiella variicola. RNAcentral's name for it is "bacterial SSU rRNA". It matches the Rfam family "Bacterial small subunit ribosomal RNA". The record is from RNAcentral. Lineage: Bacteria; Pseudomonadati; Pseudomonadota; Gammaproteobacteria; Enterobacterales; Enterobacteriaceae.